Pseudomonas sp. VI4.1 is the source of this 89-nucleotide non-coding RNA. The record is from Rfam. NCBI's taxonomy places the organism in Bacteria, Pseudomonadati, Pseudomonadota, Gammaproteobacteria, Pseudomonadales, Pseudomonadaceae.
CUUGAUGGUAGCUGUGCCCAUGGCGCCCUUGGGUGCGCCGGAUUUGGGUCGGUGUCCGGUCUACUAACUUGCGCACAGCUGCCACCCUU